GCACCCCCAGUCUUUCCAUCCUCCUCAUUCGUCUAGGGGCACCCGAAUCCCCUAUUCCUUAUUUCCCGUAUCAAUCAGGCACUGGCAGCGUCCUUUGCUACUCCUGUUGGCCGCCGCGGCUCCAAAGCGAGGUAAGCUGAUGUGCCUGAGACAGGUUUGACCAGGCAACUGAAAAGAUAUCCCUAAGAGAAGACAAAGCAAAGGUAUGAAAGGAACACACGUCCCUGACUGACUAGGAGGAACAGAGCUGCCUGCUGUCUGGAACCGCUUCCUCCCAGACUAAGGUUUCCCAGAGGAAGAGAGAAUUUGUACAAAUGAAUGAGGAACAAUGCUCUCCUGAGGGUUUUCUUUAAGGGGCAAGGAUCACUGCCGCUAGCUCCUUUGAAAGCAGAGUUAAGAGGCAGUGCAGGAAGGCACAGCAGGAAGGCUCAUGGUUAGACUACAGAGAAGGAAGCAGACACUGCUGGGGACCUACCCUGUGCUGGUCACUGACAAGCUGUCUCAUUAAACCUUCCCAGACCCUCAACCCCUCCUAGUAUCUUAUCCUCAUUUUACAGAUGAGAAGACUGCGGCCCAGAGAGGUCCAAUGCCAGUGGGAUCAGCUUCGAUGGGAUGCACACAGACUGACCUCUUCUCCCCAGCCCCUUCAACUUCCCAGAGCUGCAGGGGGCCUGGGAGUUCUUGGUAACAGCACAUUAAACCUCUGUUUGUGGGAA
RNAcentral lists this non-coding RNA (716 nucleotides) under Pan troglodytes (chimpanzee). The record is from RNAcentral. Lineage: Eukaryota; Metazoa; Chordata; Mammalia; Primates; Hominidae.